GUGUGCAAGGAAUUUAACAUAGUGUAUUUACAAUUUGUCAAGACUAGAAUUCAUCCAUUUCAUUCUCAUGCAUUCACAACAUCUCAAUUCCAUCCAAUAAGUAUUCAAUUUCAAUUNUAGGUUCAAUCAUAUUUCUCAAUACUUCAAGAACCACAAUUCAUGCCAUGGGUGAUCAAGCCACAACAAGCAUUAAGCAUAGAAAUCAAAUACUAACAUGAAUUAGAAAAGCGUAUAUCAUUAACAUCACAUAAUACAUAAGAAUUUCAUGUUUUACAACUAAUCUCAACAAAUAGGAAAAGCCCUCCAUGGAGGAGAACUUAGGGUUCUACAAAUUGAAGAGAUAAGGAAGAAAUUGGAACCAAAGAGAAGAUGCAAAGCCUUUCCCAAGGUUCUUGGCAGCUGCUCCAUGCUCCAUUUGCGCCUCCCCUUCGCAUCUCCAUCUCCAAUUUGUGACCCAUCUUCUUCCUCAACCCAAAAGGGGCAAAAUCACCAUUGAAGAAGCUUGAAGACCCAAGGAGGAGUGGGAGAGCUUCCCAACACCCCAAAUAGCCUCCAAGGGCCUCUCCCAAUCUCUCUAGGUGAAGAAUGAAGUGUAGAAGGAGAAGAAUGCCCAAAAAUCGCGAGACCCAUGUUUAAAUAACCUAAUUUUGACACAUCAGCGGAAAAUCGCGCCCAGCGCCCCCUUCUGGGGCGCCCAGGCGCCAUAAAAACACAAAACAACGAGUCAAAGGGCGCCCAGGCGCCAAAUCUGCAGAAAAACAGCAACCAGGGGCGCCCAGGCGCCAUAUCUGCAGCCAGGGGUGCCCCAGCCCGAGCAGCUCUGACAGCAUUCAAAAAUUCAGGCUCUUGCGCGAUUCCAA
Molecule: long non-coding RNA, 860 nt
Filed under: Vigna radiata
Lineage: Eukaryota; Viridiplantae; Streptophyta; Magnoliopsida; Fabales; Fabaceae
Description: long non-coding RNA (VRAD_LNC004433)
Source: RNAcentral